Molecule: transfer RNA, 70 nt
Filed under: Marmota monax (woodchuck)
Lineage: Eukaryota; Metazoa; Chordata; Mammalia; Rodentia; Sciuridae
Description: tRNA.Ala
Rfam family: tRNA (bases 8-63)
About the family: Transfer RNA (tRNA) molecules are approximately 80 nucleotides in length.
Source: RNAcentral
GAGAUACAGCUCAGUGGUAGAGCACUUGCCUGGCAAUCAUGAGACCCUGGGUUCAAUCCCCAGCAUGACA